This 73-nucleotide transfer RNA is filed under the name Eubacterium sp. RNAcentral's name for it is "tRNA-Asn". It matches the Rfam family "tRNA". Rfam says of the family: Transfer RNA (tRNA) molecules are approximately 80 nucleotides in length. Their secondary structure includes four short double-helical elements and three loops (D, anti-codon, and T loops). RNAcentral also lists the same sequence under 1 other name. Lineage: Bacteria; Bacillati; Bacillota; Clostridia; Eubacteriales; Eubacteriaceae. The record is from RNAcentral.
UCCUCCUUAGCUCAGUCGGUAGAGCAAUCGGCUGUUAACCGAUGUGUCGCUGGUUCGAGCCCGGCAGGGGGAG